UGUGGUGGCGGUGAGGGGCGCAGAGUCCAGGGGGAAACGACUGUUUACCAAAAACACAGGUCCGUGCGAAGUCGUAAGACGAUGUAUACGGACUGACUCCUGCCCGGUGCUGGAAGGUUAAGGGGAACUGUGAGUGUGAUGCGUAGCGGUGAACUUAAGCCCCAGUAAACGGCGGUGGUAACUAUAACCAUCCUAAGGUAGCGAAAUUCCUUGUCGGGUAAGUUCCG
RNAcentral lists this ribosomal RNA (227 nucleotides) under uncultured Symbiodinium. RNAcentral describes it as "partial Bacterial large subunit ribosomal RNA". It matches the Rfam family "Bacterial large subunit ribosomal RNA", at positions 1761 to 1985 of the family's 2925-position model. Lineage: Eukaryota; Dinophyceae; Suessiales; Symbiodiniaceae. The record is from RNAcentral.